UAUCCUGGACACCCUGGCAACUCAGUCUUCCCUAAACCACGCCCUCCCAAGCCCCUCGAUGGGUGCCUUUCUUCGUUGCCUGACCAAAGCCUGGCAUGCCUGAAUUCAUAGCUUGAACCACUUCUAGCUGUUUGACUUUGGGCAAGUAACUUACCCUUUCUGAAUCCAGAUUUCUGCACUUAUUAGACAAUACAAACCUCAAAGGGAGGCUAGAGAGUGAAGUGAGAUGUGUCGGGCUGAACACAGAGGCCCUCGUGACGAUGCACAGCCGUGAAGGAGUCAUGAGUCCGGAUCUCCCCAGAGGGUACCAGCUGCCUUCAUUGAGAACAAAUGGCAAGCUCCCCGGAGGAACCACGGCCACUGUACAGCCCGGUCUCGGGCAGCGUCCCAUGGCUCCUUCUGGACCUCUGGGUUGUCUUCACCAGGUUCAAGAUGCCAAGCAGCUCCAAAAAGUCUGCACAGAGGGGAGUCCCAGAAGCCGCCACCCCUAGGGCCAUCUCGGUCGGGCAACAGUUAAACUGGCAUACAUACAGGUAGUCCUGGGAUAUCAUCCACCCAGAAUCUGACCUGACCCCAGCCAGGGUUGCUGCCACCUCUGCCACUCCCCAUCCGGAAGGGAAGCAGGACGCCUGGGGGCUGGUAAGCCAGAGCACACCACAGCACCGGAAGGAAGGCACAGGGGAGGCUGGUAGCCUCCCUGGAGGAGGUGAGACCUGACUGGAGACUCAGAAGACAAGGUCAGGGUCACUUGUUGACAGCUGGAAAACCUGAGCUCAGUUCCCAGAACUCGAAAGCACGGCAGAAGGAGAAAACCAGCUCCUACCAGUUGUCCUCUGACUUCCGCAAGCACUGGCAUAAGCACACACCAAUAAAUAACAUGGUUUUUUCUG
Long non-coding RNA from Mesocricetus auratus (golden hamster), 890 nucleotides. RefSeq lists it as uncharacterized. Lineage: Eukaryota; Metazoa; Chordata; Mammalia; Rodentia; Cricetidae. The record is from RefSeq and is a predicted model, not a curated record. The transcript is spliced from 2 exons.